This is a long non-coding RNA of Myotis myotis, 1748 nucleotides long. RefSeq lists it as uncharacterized. Lineage: Eukaryota; Metazoa; Chordata; Mammalia; Chiroptera; Vespertilionidae. The transcript is spliced from 3 exons. The record is from RefSeq and is a predicted model, not a curated record.
GGAUGGGGGCGAGCACGAGGCAGCCAAUGAAUGAUUCUCUCUCAUCAUUGAUGUUUCUCUCUCUCGCAAAUCAAUAAAAAUAUGUAUUUUUUAAAAGAGACUGAGGUACAGAGAGAAAGAGCAUUUUGCCCAAGUCACAUAGCUGGUAACUGGCAUAGUGGGGAUUCAAACUGAGCCUGUGUCCUCAACCAUUACAUGUCCUCCUUACAGAUGAAUGAAGAAGCUAUACUAUAUGUGUACCUCGAGCUGUGUGACAGGACAAGCUUUCACCAUAAGGUCUCUAAGUGUUCCGUGUGGUAGCUAGCAUUAUGAUUACUACUAUUAUUUAUUCACUUGGGGAAGAAUAUGUGAGAAGUGGGAUCUGGGCAGAGGACUUGGAGGUAAAUGGUGAGGGGGGGGAUGAAAGGCUCUAGCGUUAACAGCCCCUUUCCCUUUCCUGCAGAGAUGGGGACACUGAAGAGCAUCAAGACCCUCCCUGGUGACCCUCCACUGUGCAACCCAGCUCCCCUGAGGCCCCAAGGCCAGGGAACAAAGGCAACUCUAAGAACACAGACUCCUGAGUCAGGCAGACCAAGUGCAACGUGGGGGGAGCUCCCUCCCUAGAUGAGUGACAUCAUAAUCCCAGGACCUGUUUCCCCGUCUGUGAAAGAGGGCUGUGCUACAAGCUCUGAAGAAGUUCCUGCUGUGGGACUGGGACACAUGCACAAAGCUGCUUAUGGCAAUGGGAACUGGCGUAGCCACGAACUGAAACAACCCAUGUGAGAGAAUGGAGACAUAGAUUUCCACGGUGGAAUAUUCUAUAGCUAUAGAAAUGGAUGCACAAACUAUGACACCUGGAAUUCAUUUUUAAAUCGAUGUUACACGAAUAAAGGCCUUUGCAUAUGCUAUUCCCUCUGCUUGGAACACUCUUCCUUCAGCUCAUCUCACAGAGGGCUGCUUGUCCUUCAGACCUCAGCUCAAAUGUCACCCUCUCAAGCUGGGGAAACUGAGGUAGGAACCGUGUUCAUAAUAAGUGGGAAAUCAGGAAUUGGACCAAGUACCCUCAUUCCAGAAAUCCUGGUCUUGCCCAGGGCUUCAGAUGCACCAAAUCGGCAAGGUAGGGAUGACGAACGGUAAGAAGGGAAGGAUGGGAGGAAGGACAGAUUAUAGAAAGAGGAGAAAAGAGAGAUUAUAGAAGAGGGACGGAAGGAAGAAAAGAAAGAUCAUGCCAAGAAGUAAAAUAAAAAAGAAAGAUUAUACCUAAAAGAGAAAAAGAAAGAAAAUAAAAAUGAUUGUGCCCAUACAGCUCUCUUAGCUCUGACUGGCAGGGAGGGAGCCACCAAUAACAGCAGAACCUACUUGGUAAGGUUGUUUUGUCCAGCGCUCAGAGCUGGGGGCAGGUCCUCAGACACCUGAGCUCUCACUAUCAUUAUCGGAAACAUUAUCUUCCCCACCGCUCUUAUGAUUGCUCCUGAACGACGGGACAGUAAGAGGGGGCCCCAGAAAGGGACAAAGCAGCCCCAAAGGGGAAUCAGGGCCCCCUGGCCCUGCUGUCUUCCCCAAAUAUUCAUACUGUGGGUGCGGAUGGUGACAGAAAUAACAAUUCCAGUGGGUCGAUCCCCGCGUGUUCGCAGCAGGGCUGCGGGGCCAAGUGGUCGCCCCCGGCUGCGGGUUGUGCUAAUUGUUUGGGGUGGAGACCCCUGUCGUUCCCAUGGUUACGGAGCGUGAGACCGAGGCUCCGAGAGGCGAGCGCGCGGCCGGUGCCGGCG